CUGUGAAGCCUUAAAGUCAUUGACUCACAAGUUGGCGGCGGACAUUUGAUGGCAACACAGAUUGCUGUGGUCACUGACUCAAAACCUGUACAACAGGCUUUGCAAAGCCCUGGAUCAUGGACCCCCUAUAUCGACACUGUUUUCAUGGCUGUUUUCAUCUCAUCACACGCUAUUGCACCCCUGUGAUCAAGCAGUGGGUACUGAGUCACAUACAUGUGACUGGCAACACGAUUG
Non-coding RNA from Biomphalaria pfeifferi, 234 nucleotides. NCBI's taxonomy places the organism in Eukaryota, Metazoa, Mollusca, Gastropoda, Planorbidae. The record is from the annotation of a GenBank genome assembly.